RNAcentral lists this ribosomal RNA (896 nucleotides) under uncultured delta proteobacterium. Its description in RNAcentral is "bacterial SSU rRNA". It matches the Rfam family "Bacterial small subunit ribosomal RNA", at positions 46 to 916 of the family's 1533-position model. The record is from RNAcentral. Lineage: Bacteria; Deltaproteobacteria.
GCUAACACAUGCAAGUCGAACGAGAAAUCCCGAGCUUGCUUGGGAGAGUAAAGUGGCGCACGGGUGAGUAACGCGUGGGUACCUACCUUUGAAUCUGGAAUAACCAGCCGAAAGGCUGACUAAUACCGGAUACGGUUUUGAGGACUUAGGUUCUCUAAAUUAAAGGUGACCUCUUCAUGAAAGUUGCCGUUCAUAGAUGGGCCCGCGUACCAUUAGCUAGUUGGUGGGGUAAUGGCCUACCAAGGCGACGAUGGUUAGCUGGUCUGAGAGGAUGAUCAGCCACACUGGAACUGGAACACGGUCCAGACUCCUACGGGAGGCAGCAGUGAGGAAUUUUGCGCAAUGGGGGAAACCCUGACGCAGCAACGCCGCGUGAGCGAAGAAGGCCCUCGGGUCGUAAAGCUCUGUCAAGUGGGAAAAAAAUCUUUUAAUCAAUAGUUAAAAGACUUGAUGGUACCACUGGAGGAAGCACCGGCUAACUCCGUGCCAGCAGCCGCGGUAAUACGGAGGGUGCAAGCGUUGUUCGGAUUUACUGGGCGUAAAGAGCGUGUAGGCGGUUUAGCAAGUCAGAUGUGAAAGCCCUGGGCUUAACCCGGGAAGUGCAUUUGAAACUGCUUCACUAGAGUAUGGGAGAGGAGAUUGGAAUUCCUGGUGUAGAGGUGAAAUUCGUAGAUAUCAGGAGGAACACCCGUGGCGAAGGCGAUUCUCUGGACCAAUACUGACGCUGAGACGCGAAAGCGUGGGGAGCAAACAGGAUUAGAUACCCUGGUAGUCCACGCCGUAAACGAUGAGAACUAGGUGUAGUGGGUAUUGACCCCUGCUGUGCCGAAGUUAACGCAUUAAGUUCUCCGCCUGGGGAGUACGGCCGCAAGGCUAAAACUCAAAUGAAUUGACGG